GACGAACGCUGGCGGCGUGCUUAACACAUGCAAGUCGAACGGAAAGGCCCUGCGUUUGUUGGUUUCUCGAUUGGCGAACGGGGGAGUAACACGUGAGUAACCUGCCCUUGACUGUGUGAUAACUUCAGGGAACUGGGGCGAAUACCGGAGAGGAUCUCCUGCUGCAUGUUGGUGGUUGGAAAGUUUCGGCGGUUGUGGCUGGACUCGCUGCUUAUCAGCUUGUUGGUGGGGUAGUUGCUUACCAAGGCUUUGACGGGUAGCCCGCCUGAGAGGGUUACCGGGCACCAUGCGCCUGCGAGAGGGAGCAGAAUCCUACGGGAGGCAGUAGUGGGGAAUAUUGCACAACGGGCGGACGUGUGAUGCAGAAACGCCGCGUGCGGGAUGCCGGGCUUCGGGUUGUAAACAGAUUUCGACUGUGACGAAGAGUGAGUGACGGUACUGGGUCAAGAAGCCCCGGCUAACUACGUG
Molecule: ribosomal RNA, 468 nt
Filed under: uncultured bacterium
Lineage: Bacteria
Description: partial 16S ribosomal RNA
Rfam family: Bacterial small subunit ribosomal RNA
Source: RNAcentral